GACGAACGCUGGCGGCGUGCUUAACACAUGCAAGUCGAACGGAAAGGCCAUGCUUUUGUGGGGUGCUCGAGUGGCGCACGGGUGAGUAACACGUGAGUAACCUGCCCUUGACUUUGGGAUAACUUCAGGAAACUGGGGCUAAUACCGGAUAGGAGCUCCUGCUGCAUGGUGGGGGUUGGAAAGUUUCGGCGGUUGGGGAUGGACUCGCGGCUUAUCAGCUUGUUGGUGGGGUAGUGGCUUACAAAGUCUUUGACGGGUAGCCGACCUGAGAGGGUGAACGGCCACAAUGGUACUGAGAGACGGCCCAGACGGCUACGGUAGGCAGCAGUGGGGAAUAUGGCACAAUGGGCGGAAGCCAGAUGCAGCAACGCCGCGUGCGGGAUGACGGCCUUCGGGUUGUAAACCGCUGUCGCCUGUGACGAAGCGUGAGUGACGGUAAUGGGUAAAGAAGCACCGGCUAACUACGUG
RNAcentral lists this ribosomal RNA (468 nucleotides) under uncultured bacterium. RNAcentral describes it as "partial 16S ribosomal RNA". It matches the Rfam family "Bacterial small subunit ribosomal RNA", at positions 28 to 507 of the family's 1533-position model. The record is from RNAcentral.